UCGCUCUGGGAGUCGCCUGCGCAGUAUCAGCUAGUUGGUAGGGUAACGGCCUACCAAGGCUACGACGCUUAGGGGGGGUGAGAGCCCAAUCCCCACCGAUGGGACUGCGACACGGCCCAUACUCCUACGGGAGGCUGCAGACGAGAAUAUUCCGCAAUGGGCGAAAGCCUGACGGAGCGACGCCGCGUGCUGGAUGAAGUGCCUUGGUACGUAAACAGCUUUUAUCAGGGAAGAAAUCAUUGACGGUACCUGAUGAAUAAGGGGCUGCUAACUCUGUGCCAGCAGCAGCGGUAAUACAGAGGCCCCAACCAUUACCCGGAAUCACUGGGCGUAAAGGGUGUCAAGGCGGCCGUAUUAGUCGUUCGUUAAAUCCCCGGGCCUAACCCGGGGGCUGCGAGCGAAACGGUACGGCUCGAGGGCGCGAGAGGUAGAGGGAACUCACGGUGGAGGGGUGAAAUCCGUUGAUAUCGUGGGGAACACCAAAGGCGAAGGCACUCUACUGGCGCGUUCCUGACGCUCACACACGAAAGCCAGGGUAGCGAAGAGGAUUAGAU
This 554-nucleotide ribosomal RNA is filed under the name uncultured bacterium. RNAcentral's name for it is "bacterial SSU rRNA". It matches the Rfam family "Bacterial small subunit ribosomal RNA", at positions 215 to 783 of the family's 1533-position model. The record is from RNAcentral.